This 695-nucleotide ribosomal RNA is filed under the name uncultured bacterium. RNAcentral describes it as "bacterial SSU rRNA". It matches the Rfam family "Bacterial small subunit ribosomal RNA", at positions 815 to 1515 of the family's 1533-position model. The record is from RNAcentral.
ACUAGUUGUCGGGUUUUAAUUAACUUGGUAACGCAGCUAACGCGUGAAGUAGACCGCCUGGGGAGUACGGUCGCAAGAUUAAAACUCAAAGGAAUUGACGGGGACCCGCACAAGCGGUGGAUGAUGUGGAUUAAUUCGAUGCAACGCGAAAAACCUUACCUACCCUUGACAUGUCAGGAAUCCUGGAGAGAUCUGGGAGUGCCCGAAAGGGAACCUGAACACAGGUGCUGCAUGGCUGUCGUCAGCUCGUGUCGUGAGAUGUUGGGUUAAGUCCCGCAACGAGCGCAACCCUUGUCAUUAGUUGCUACGCAAGAGCACUCUAAUGAGACUGCCGGUGACAAACCGGAGGAAGGUGGGGAUGACGUCAAGUCCUCAUGGCCCUUAUGGGUAGGGCUUCACACGUCAUACAAUGGUACAUACAGAGGGCCGCCAACCCGCGAGGGGGAGCUAAUCCCAGAAAGUGUAUCGUAGUCCGGAUCGUAGUCUGCAACUCGACUACGUGAAGUUGGAAUCGCUAGUAAUCGCGGAUCAGCAUGUCGCGGUGAAUACGUUCCCGGGUCUUGUACACACCGCCCGUCACACCAUGGGAGCGGGUUUUACCAGAAGUAGGUAGCUUAACCGCAAGGAGGGCGCUUACCACGGUAGGAUUCGUGACUGGGGUGAAGUCGUAACAAGGUAGCCGUAUCGGAAGGUGC